Molecule: ribosomal RNA, 790 nt
Filed under: uncultured archaeon
Lineage: Archaea
Description: bacterial SSU rRNA
Rfam family: Archaeal small subunit ribosomal RNA
Source: RNAcentral
ACGGCUCAGUAACACGUGGACAACCUGCCCUUAGGUUGGGUAUAAACCCGGGAAACUGGGUAUAAUACCCGAUAGGUCUCGAUUGCUGGAAUGCAUCGAGAUUUAAAGCUCCGGCGCCUAAGGAUGGGUCUGCGGCCUAUCAGGUAGUAGUGGGUGUAGCGUACCUACUAGCCUACGGCGGGUACGGGUUGUGAGAGCAAGAGCCCGGAGAUGGAUUCUGAGACACGAAUCCAGGCCCUACGGGGUGCAGCAGGCGCGAAAACUUUACAAUGCUGGCAACAGCGAUAAGGGAACCUCGAGUGCCAGGUUACAAAUCUGGCUGUCGAGAUGCCUAAAAAGCAUUUCAUAGCAAGGGCCGGGCAAGACCGGUGCCAGCCGCCGCGGUAACACCGGCGGCUCGAGUGGUAACCGUUAUUAUUGGGUCUAAAGGGUCUGUAGCCGGCCGGAUAAGUCUCUUGAGAAAUCUGGCAGCUUAACUGUCAGGCUUUCAGGAGAUACUGUCUGGCUCGAGGCCGGGAGAGGUGAGAGGUACUUCAGGGGUAGGGGUGAAAUCUUGUAAUCCUUGAAGGACCACCAGUGGCGAAGGCGUCUCACCAGAACGGACCUGACGGCAAGGGACGAAAGCUAGGGGCACGAACCGGAUUAGAUACCCGGGUAGUCCUAGCCGUAAACGAUACUCGCUAGGUGUCGGCCACGGUGCGACCGUUGUCGGUGCCGUAGGGAAGCCGUGAAGCGAGCCACCUGGGAAGUACGGCCGCAAGGCUGAAACUUAAAGGAAUUGGCGGGGGAG